Molecule: ribosomal RNA, 253 nt
Filed under: uncultured bacterium
Lineage: Bacteria
Description: partial 16S ribosomal RNA
Rfam family: Bacterial small subunit ribosomal RNA
Source: RNAcentral
UACGGAGGGGGCUAGCGUUGUUCGGAAUUACUGGGCGUAAAGCGCACGUAGGCGGCUUUGUAAGUUAGAGGUGAAAGCCCGGGGCUCAACUCCGGAAUUGCCUUUAAGACUGCAUCGCUCGGAUUGUGGAGAGGUAAGUGGAAUUCCGAGUGUAGAGGUGAAAUUCGUAGAUAUUCGGAAGAACACCAGUGGCGAAGGCGACUUACUGGACACAUAUUGACGCUGAGGUGCGAAAGCGUGGGGAGCAAACAGG